This 569-nucleotide ribosomal RNA is filed under the name uncultured freshwater bacterium. RNAcentral describes it as "bacterial SSU rRNA". It matches the Rfam family "Bacterial small subunit ribosomal RNA", at positions 8 to 570 of the family's 1533-position model. The record is from RNAcentral.
AGAGUUUGAUCCUGGCUCAGAUUGAACGCUGGCGGCAUGCCUUACACAUGCAAGUCGAACGGCAGCACGGGUGCUUGCACCUGGUGGCGAGUGGCGAACGGGUGAGUAAUAUAUCGGAACGUGCCCUAGAGUGGGGGAUAACGUAGCGAAAGUUACGCUAAUACCGCAUACGAUCUACGGAUGAAAGUGGGGGAUCGCAAGACCUCAUGCUCAUGGAGCGGCCGAUAUCUGAUUAGCUAGUUGGUGGGGUAAAAGCCUACCAAGGCGACGAUCAGUAGCUGGUCUGAGAGGACGACCAGCCACACUGGGACUGAGACACGGCCCAGACUCCUACGGGAGGCAGCAGUGGGGAAUUUUGGACAAUGGGGGCAACCCUGAUCCAGCAAUGCCGCGUGUGUGAAGAAGGCCUUCGGGUUGUAAAGCACUUUUGUCAGGAACGAAACGGUGGAGGCUAAUACCUUCUGCUAAUGACGGUACCUGAAGAAUAAGCACCGGCUAACUACGUGCCAGCAGCCGCGGUAAUACGUAGGGUGCGAGCGUUAAUNCGAAUUACUGGGCGUAAAGCGUGC